RNAcentral lists this long non-coding RNA (447 nucleotides) under Callithrix jacchus (white-tufted-ear marmoset). Its description in RNAcentral is "lncRNA (ENSCJAG00000076746.1)". The record is from RNAcentral. Lineage: Eukaryota; Metazoa; Chordata; Mammalia; Primates; Cebidae.
UAACUUGGGACUCAGCUGUGGCAGGGACAAGGGUUUUAGAUGAUUUUUCUGGGAGUGGCCUCUCUCCAAGAGGAGGAAGGAUAUGGGAGGUGCUCUUUGGGGACUGUGCCUGAGACACAGGUUUAUGAAUAAAAGUAAAUCUGCAUCCCGGGCUUCCGGAAAUUUUUGAGGGUAGGUUUAAAAUUUCCAUAGGGGAAGAGGAACAGGAACUGCAAAUUACUGAGGUAUUGUUACUUUAUUUCUAUCUGCAAGGUGAUGAGACCUUGGCGACAUGUGAACUACUCAUUGACUAACAAGACGAUUAGAAAUUGGUUCUCAAGACAUGCUUUAUGGAAUGUAACCUGGCUUCUCUGGACACAUACCAUUUGUCUUUACUGCAAGGAGAAAUUGACCCUCCUUGCCUUUAAAUGACUUGGAGUUCUCACAAAGGUAAGGAAGUGGACAGAC